Molecule: ribosomal RNA, 521 nt
Filed under: uncultured bacterium
Lineage: Bacteria
Description: bacterial SSU rRNA
Rfam family: Bacterial small subunit ribosomal RNA
Source: RNAcentral
UUGGGGGCACAUGCGCAUGGGCGAAGCCUGCGCAGCGCGCCGCGUGUGGGAUGACGGCCUUCGGGUUGUAAACCCUGUCGGGGGGGACGACUGCGCCGCAGGCGAGUGACGGUACCUCCAAGGAAGCACCGGCUAACUCCGUGCCAGCAGCCGCGGUAAUACGGAGGGUGCGAGCGUUGUCCGGAAUCACUGGGCGUAAAGGGCGCGUAGGCGGCCUGGUAAGUAGGGGGUGAAAUCCUGCGGCUUAACCGCAGGGCUGCCUUCUAAACUGUCAGGCUCGAGCACAGUAGAGGCAGGUGGAAUUCCCGGUGUAGCGGUGGAAUGCGUAGAGAUCGGGAAGAACAUCAGUGGCGAAGGCGGCCUGCUGGGCUGUUGCUGACGCUGAGGCGCGACAGCGUGGGGAGCAAACAGGAUUAGAUACCCUGGUAGUCCACGCCGUAAACGAUGGGCACUAGGCGUCGGGGGGAGCGACCCUCCCGGUGCCGUCGCUAACGCAGUAAGUGCCCCGCCUGGGGAGUACG